GUUUGCAGCCCGCUGAACGACAAAAGCCUGAGGCCCUCUAAGGGCUUCAGGCUUUUCUUUCUUUCAAUG
This 69-nucleotide small RNA is filed under the name Paenibacillus sp. P22. RNAcentral describes it as "ctRNA". Lineage: Bacteria; Bacillati; Bacillota; Bacilli; Caryophanales; Paenibacillaceae. The record is from RNAcentral.